UACGGAGGGUGCAAGCGUUGUCCGGAUUUAUUGGGUUUAAAGGGUGCGUAGGCGGCCCGUUAAGUCAGCGGUGAAAUCCCGGGGCUCAACCCCGGAACUGCCGUUGAUACUGGUGGGCUUGAGUUCGGUGAAGGCGGGCGGAACUGGCGGUGUAGCGGUGAAAUGCUUAGAUACCGCCAAGAACCCCGAUUGCGUAGGCAGCUCGCUGUGCCGAAACUGACGCUGAGGCACGAAAGCGUGGGGAGCGAACAGG
Molecule: ribosomal RNA, 253 nt
Filed under: uncultured bacterium
Lineage: Bacteria
Description: partial 16S ribosomal RNA
Rfam family: Bacterial small subunit ribosomal RNA
Source: RNAcentral